Nemania sp. FL0031 is the source of this 93-nucleotide non-coding RNA. Lineage: Eukaryota; Fungi; Ascomycota; Sordariomycetes; Xylariales; Xylariaceae. The record is from the annotation of a GenBank genome assembly.
CUCCGGCUGGACUAGUUGGUUAUGAUGUCGUAUUGUCAAGCUAUCUGCCAAGCAAUAGUUCGAAGGCCGGGGGUUCGAUUCCCUCGUCGGAGA